ACACUGCUGAGGAGUCCCAUAAUAGGACGAAACAGCUGUCCAGUGA
Schistosoma rodhaini is the source of this 46-nucleotide non-coding RNA. The record is from Rfam. NCBI's taxonomy places the organism in Eukaryota, Metazoa, Platyhelminthes, Trematoda, Strigeidida, Schistosomatidae.